AAUGCGAUUUUGGGGGUAAAGAAUAAUGCGGUUCUCGAAGCCAUCGCGUGACGUUCUGGUUCAUGAAGCUGCCGCUCGAUUCAUCAUGUGUAACUCCUACGACGUCUGCGUCGCCGCUCGAUUCAUCCGUGCAUAACUCCUUCGAUGUCUGCGUCGUCGUGUUCUGCUCCAGGUGACGGGGAACGUCACCGAUCGACCUGUCAUCUCGCCGACGACUACCCAAGCUUCAAUCUUCGAAGUCGUUUGUCACGCCAUCACGCUAUGACACUACGUUUCCCAUUCGUCUGACAGUUGCAUGCCAUGGUGUGGCUCCCUGCAUCCUUCGUCCACCGACCGUGAAACAGCUACUACCGAUUCUCUAUUCUGGUGUACACGUGUCGAUUCCAUUUUUCUACGUUGCAGUUUCUGCCUUGUUUUGGGUAGUUGUGAUAAGAAUGAAAAUUGUAGGUUUGAUUGGUUUUGAAUUGUAAAAAUAAUGAGUUGUGAGGAUGGUUAAUUGAUUGGAUUAACAUUUCUUGAAGGUACUGUUUGAAGCGAGUAAACGUUUGAAUUUUCUAUAACUUGGGUUAGGUUCGUCCCUCCACUAACGGGGUUGUGGUUGUUGAAGUUAGUUCGACCAAGAGUUUUGCAUAAAACUUUAAGUUAAGACAAAGGUAACACGAGAGGCAGACCGACGAGGGACAAGGAGUCGUGAUUGUCAUAUGGAAAAUGUCUUUUAAACUGCUUAUGAUGUUGGUUUAAAUUUCUUUUUUGUGAUUGAAUUGAGUUUAUGAAUAGUUAAAUUAAACGGUACUUUUAGAAUUUUAUUGUUUUAAAUAGG
Molecule: long non-coding RNA, 820 nt
Organism: Cucumis sativus (cucumber)
Lineage: Eukaryota; Viridiplantae; Streptophyta; Magnoliopsida; Cucurbitales; Cucurbitaceae
Exons: 3
Source: RefSeq, a predicted model, not a curated record